RNAcentral lists this unclassified non-coding RNA (130 nucleotides) under soil metagenome. Its description in RNAcentral is "partial internal transcribed spacer 1". The record is from RNAcentral.
CGAAUGGGUCUGAAGACUCUUAAAACCUACCGUGCUCCCCUACGUGGAAAACAGGAAAGCCCUCCGGGGCAUAGGAAAUCUGAGAAGUUGAGAACUGCGCCCCGGCGCAUGACUAAAACAAAAAAUUACG